This 319-nucleotide ribosomal RNA is filed under the name uncultured eukaryote. Its description in RNAcentral is "partial 18S ribosomal RNA". It matches the Rfam family "Eukaryotic small subunit ribosomal RNA", at positions 1470 to 1796 of the family's 1831-position model. The record is from RNAcentral.
CCCUUAGAUUUUCUGGGCAGCACGCGCGCUACAAUGGUCUUCGCAAACGGAUGCAUUCUCGAAGGAGAAUGCCAAUCUUGGAAUCUAUGCCUUGGUCGGGACAGUUGCUUGCAAUUUUUCGACUCGAACCAGGAAUUCCUUGUAAUCGUGAUUCAUCACAUCACGAUGAAUACGUCCCUGCCCUUUGUACACACCGCCCGUCGCUCCUACCGAUCGAAGAGUUAGGUGAAUUGUUUUGAUCGAUAAGAUUUGACUAUGGUCAACUCUCGUUGUGAAAUUCUGUGAAUCUGACUGUUUAGAGGAAGGAAAAGUCGUAACA